GACGGGGAGGUUUGGCACCUCGAUGUCGGCUCAUCGCAUCCUGGGGCUGUAGUCGGUCCCAAGGGUUGGGCUGUUCGCCCAUUAAAGCGGUACGCGAGCUGGGUUUAGAACGUCGUGAGACAGUUCGGUCCCUAUCCGUCGCGGGCGCAGGAAAUUUGAGAGGAGCUGUCCUUAGUACGAGAGGACCGGGAUGGACGCACCGCUGGUGUACCAGUUGUUCUGCCAAGGGCAUCGCUGGGUAGCUAUGUGCGGACGGGAUAAGUGCUGAAAGCAUCUAAGCAUGAAGCCCCCCUCAAGAUGAGAUUUCCCAUUCCUAUAAGGAAGUAAGAUCCCUGAAAGAUGAUCAGGUUGAUAGGUCUGAGGUGGAAGUGUGGCGACACAUGGAGCUGACAGAUACUAAUCGAUCGAGGACUUAACCUA
Molecule: ribosomal RNA, 420 nt
Filed under: Salmonella enterica subsp. enterica serovar Typhimurium
Lineage: Bacteria; Pseudomonadati; Pseudomonadota; Gammaproteobacteria; Enterobacterales; Enterobacteriaceae
Description: partial 23S ribosomal RNA
Rfam family: Bacterial large subunit ribosomal RNA
Source: RNAcentral